Molecule: non-coding RNA, 71 nt
Organism: Paramuricea clavata
Lineage: Eukaryota; Metazoa; Cnidaria; Anthozoa; Malacalcyonacea; Plexauridae
Source: the annotation of a GenBank genome assembly
CAGUUUCGUACCACGUAAAUAACGUGGCACUCUUCUGAAGAGUGCCACGUUAUUUACGUGGUACGAAUCUG